UUUACACAUGUCAUUGGCGAGAUAGAACAAAUACUCACCUAGACAGACAGACAGAUACACACACACACACACACACCUAGCUAUAAGUAAAACUUGGGAAAACAAUAAAAGAUCUAUGGAUUGUAUCAGUGUCAAAAUCCUGCUUGAAAUAUUAUAGUGUAUUUUCAUAAGAUGAUAUUAUUGGGAAAAAAUACCUAAGGGUUAUAUGACGGUUUUUUUUUUGUAUUAUUUUUUUUACAACUGCAUGUGAAUCUACAAUUAUCUCAUAAUAAGAAGCUUAAUUUAAAAAGAUUGAAGGUAUUCUGUUUGCAGAUGUCAUGAUUUUAUAAAUAGAAAAUCUUUUAGGACUGAUAAAGAAAUUCAGUAAUCCAAAAAUCAAUAGCAGUUUCAUUGAUCAAUAAUGAACUAGCUGAAAGAGAAAUCAAGAAAACAAUACCAUUUAUAAUGGCUACUAAAAGAUACUCAUGAAUAUAUUUAACCAAGAAGGUGAAAACUCUGUUGAGACAAAUUGAUACUGAUGAAAGAAAUUGAAAAAAGUACAAAAAAGUGCCAAGACAUCCCAUGUUCAUGGAAUGAAAAAAACAAUAUAAUUAUAAUGUACAUACUUGCCAAAGAAAUCUACAGAUUCAAUACAAUCCCUUUCAAAAUACCAAUGACAUUCCUCAUGGAAAUAGGAGGAAAAAAAAAAAAACCUAAAAUUCAUAGGGAACCAAAGAUCCUAAAGUAAUCCUGAGAAAAAUUAACAGAAUUGGGGGCAUCAUAGAUACCUGACUUUAAAACAAAAUAUAAGACCAAAACAAGAUGGUACUGGCACAAAAAUCAACAUAGAUGGACAGAACUGAGAACCCAGAAAUAAAUCUAUGUAUUUACAACCAACUGAUUUUCAGCAAAGACACCAGAACAUACAUUGGAGAAGUUACAGUUUCUUUAAUAAAUGUUCCAUAUGCAGAAGAAUGAAAUUAGACUCAGUUGUCUCAACACAUUGGAAAAAAAAAAAAAGAACCUUACAAACAUAGGAAAUGCUUCCCAGUAUUGGUCGGCCAAGGAGUUUUUGGAUAAGAUUCCAAAAGCCUAGGCAACAAAAGCGAAAUUGACAAAUGGGAUUAUAUCAAACUGUAAAGCUUCCACACAGCAAGUAAAUAACCAGCAGUGAGGAGACAACCCACAGAACUGGCGAAAACACUUGCACACUGGCAAAGGGUCAACAUGGAGAUCAUAUUCCAUAAACUCACACAGCUCAGACAAGUCAACCGCAAAUAGAAAAUACAAGCCAAUCUGAUGAAAGAAUGGGCAUAUGGCCUGUUUGGAAAUUUCUCGAAAGAAGAUAAACAAACGGUCAUCAAACAUUUCAAAAAAUCUUAACAACAUAAAUCUUUAGGAAAAUGCAAAUCAAGACCAUAUCUCCUCAGAGGUCAUCUCACCCUAUUCAAAUGACUGUUACCCAGAAGCCAGUAACAGAUGCUGCACAGAUAGGGAGGAAGGGGAGUUUUCAUACACUGUGGGGAAUGCAAGGUACUGUGGGCAUCAUGGAAAGCAGUGUGGAGUUUCC
RNAcentral lists this long non-coding RNA (1549 nucleotides) under Marmota monax (woodchuck). The record is from RNAcentral. Lineage: Eukaryota; Metazoa; Chordata; Mammalia; Rodentia; Sciuridae.